CUACGUGCCAGCAGCCGCGGUAAUACGUAUGUCACAAGCGUUAUCCGGAUUUAUUGGGCGUAAAGCGCGUCUAGGCGGCUAUGUAAGUCUGAUGUGAAAAUGCGGGGCUCAACUCCGUAUUGCGUUGGAAACUGUGUAGCUAGAGUAUCGGAGAGGUAAGCGGAACUACAAGUGUAGAGGUGAAAUUCGUAGAUAUUUGUAGGAAUGCCGAUGGGGAAGCCAGCUUACUGGACGAAUACUGACGCUAAAGCGCGAAAGCGUGGGUAGCAAACAGGAUUAGAUACCCUGGUAGUCCACGCCGUAAACGAUGAUUACUAGGUGUUGGGGGUCGAACCUCAGCGCCCAAGCUAACGCGAUAAGUAAUCCGCCUGGGGAGUACGUACGCAAGUAUGAAACUCAAAGGAAUUGACGGGGACCCGCACAAGCGGUGGAGCAUGUGGUUUAAUUUGACGCAACGCGAGGAACCUUACCAGCGUUUGACAUC
This 484-nucleotide ribosomal RNA is filed under the name uncultured bacterium. Its description in RNAcentral is "bacterial SSU rRNA". It matches the Rfam family "Bacterial small subunit ribosomal RNA", at positions 501 to 988 of the family's 1533-position model. The record is from RNAcentral.